This 373-nucleotide ribosomal RNA is filed under the name uncultured organism. Its description in RNAcentral is "partial 16S ribosomal RNA". It matches the Rfam family "Bacterial small subunit ribosomal RNA", at positions 527 to 896 of the family's 1533-position model. The record is from RNAcentral.
GAAGGGGGCUAGCGUUGCUCGGAAUCACUGGGCGUAAAGGGUGCGUAGGCGGGUCUUUAAGUCAGGGGUGAAAUCCUGGAGCUCAACUCCAGAACUGCCUUUGAUACUGAAGAUCUUGAGUUCGGGAGAGGUGAGUGGAACUGCGAGUGUAGAGGUGAAAUUCGUAGAUAUUCGCAAGAACACCAGUGGCGAAGGCGGCUCACUGGCCCGAUACUGACGCUGAGGCACGAAAGCGUGGGGGGGAGCAAACAGGAUUAGAUACCCUGGUAGUCCACGCCGUAAACGAUGAAUGCCCAGCCGUUAGUGGGUUUACUCACUAGUGGCGCAGCUAACGCUUUAAGCAUUCCGCCUGGGGAGUACGGUCGCAAGAUUA